GACGAACGCUGGCGGCGUGCCUAAUACAUGCAAGUAGAACGCUGAAGAGAGGAGCUUCCUCUUCUUGGAUGAGUUGCGAACGGGUGAGUAGCGCGUAGGUAACCUGCCUUGUAGCGGGGGAUAACUAUUGGAAACGAUAGCUAAUACCGCAUAACAAUGGAUGACACAUGUCAUUUAUUUGAAAGGGGCAAUUGCUCCACUACAAGAUGGACCUGCGUUGUAUUAGCUAGUAGGUGAGGUAAUGGCUCACCUAGGCGACGAUACAUAGCCGACCUGAGAGGGUGAUCGGCCACACUGGGACUGAGACACGGCCCAGACUCCUACGGGAGGCAGCAGUAGGGAAUCUUCGGCAAUGGGGGCAACCCUGACCGAGCAACGCCGCGUGAGUGAAGAAGGUUUUCGGAUCGUAAAGCUCUGUUGUAAGUCAAGAACGGGUGUGAGAGUGGAAAGUUCACACUGUGGCGGUAGCUUACCAGAAAGGGACGGCUAACUACGUG
RNAcentral lists this ribosomal RNA (497 nucleotides) under uncultured bacterium. RNAcentral describes it as "partial 16S ribosomal RNA". It matches the Rfam family "Bacterial small subunit ribosomal RNA", at positions 28 to 507 of the family's 1533-position model. The record is from RNAcentral.